CCUGGUGAUGAUGGCGGAGGGGAAACACCCGUACCCAUACCGAACACGGCAGUUAAGCCCUCCUGCGCCGAUGGUACUGCGGUUUACCCGUGGAAGAGUAGGACGUUGCCAGGA
Molecule: ribosomal RNA, 114 nt
Filed under: Syntrophomonadaceae bacterium
Lineage: Bacteria; Bacillati; Bacillota; Clostridia; Eubacteriales; Syntrophomonadaceae
Source: RNAcentral